This 253-nucleotide ribosomal RNA is filed under the name uncultured bacterium. RNAcentral's name for it is "partial 16S ribosomal RNA". It matches the Rfam family "Bacterial small subunit ribosomal RNA", at positions 524 to 776 of the family's 1533-position model. The record is from RNAcentral.
UACGAAGGGGGCUAGCGUUGCUCGGAAUCACUGGGCGUAAAGGGUGCGUAGGCGGGUUUUUAAGUCAGGGGUGAAAUCCUGGAGCUCAACUCCAGAACUGCCUUUGAUACUGAAGAUCUUGAGUCCGGGAGAGGUGAGUGGAACUGCGAGUGUAGAGGUGAAAUUCGUAGAUAUUCGCAAGAACACCAGUGGCGAAGGCGGCUCCCUGGCCCGGUACUGACGCUGAGGCACGAAAGCGUGGGGAGCAAACAGG